GCCGGUGUAGCUCAGUUGGUAGAGCAACGCUUUUGUAAAGCGAAGGUCGCGGGUUCGAUUCCCCCCACCGGCUCCA
Molecule: transfer RNA, 76 nt
Filed under: Candidatus Nomurabacteria bacterium RIFOXYA1_FULL_35_17
Lineage: Bacteria; Candidatus Nomuraibacteriota
Also listed under: 3 other names
Description: tRNA-Thr
Rfam family: tRNA
About the family: Transfer RNA (tRNA) molecules are approximately 80 nucleotides in length.
Source: RNAcentral